AUGAUUUGGAGGUUUGAAUAAAAAACGCUGAUAGUAAUAUUGAAUAGAAAAACCACCAUUUCUUUUUUCUUAAGAACAGGAAACACAGAAGCAUGACACAGAAAACAAACACUAAAGUAGAAAACAAACAAAAAAAAGAAAGCAUAUAGAAAACAGACGAAAACAUCUAUAAUGAAAAACAUAAACCUCUACAUAGCACAGAGAACACAAACAACACACCAAAUUUAAAGAUAGAAAACACGCAUGCUGAAAUCAUAAAGAAAAACAGAGAGGAUAGUUUUUACAGUAGAAAUAGACAACCAACACACACACACACACACACACACACACACACACUAAACCUUGCCAAGUAGAGAACACAAUCAAAGGUAUAUUCAAGUAUCUUUUUUUUUUCUUUUUUCAAUUCCUAAUCAUAGGCGUUCAAUAAUUUCAGCAUCAUUCAGCCAAACACCUCAACAAACGCCCCUUAAACUCCAUAAAUUCCAAUAACAUUAUGUAAAGCUUAAGAAAGAAACUUCGCAGGGAUCAAAGUGGCAAGGAGAACAGGAGGGGGUAAGCAGAUGGGGGGUGGGAGUGAGAGGGGGCGUAGGACCGGCAGGGGGCGGGAGGAGGAGUGUAGAGCCAGUAGGAGGGCGGGAGGAAGGAUUGUAAGUCCAGCAGGUGGCAGCGGGAGGAGGCGAGACAUCAGUGGAAGGGCGGGAAGACUAGAGGUGAGAGGCAAGGUAACAAAAUGAGAGGAAGGAAAAGAAUUAUAAAAGUCUUGCAAAGAAAUAGUAAGUAACUCUAUAGGAUAUUCAGUUGACAAGAAGAGAAGGUGGCAGGGGUGAUAAAAUACUACCCAACAAGUAAUAGAGUGUUAUUCCACUAAAAAAGGGCAGGAAAUAAUAGAUUCUGGCUCGAUAAAGUUAUUCAAAGAAGAGAUACGAAGAAACUGGUUCUUAAAUAGAGUAGGACAUGAAUGGAACAGACUCCGCAAUUAGCUUGAUAGUGCUGAAAUAUUGGGGAUCUUUAAAAGAAGAAUCGACAGAUUUAUAGAUGAGAAUGAUAGAGUGAAACAGGCAGCCAAACAUAUAGGAACUGCCACAUGUAGAGCUGGUGGCUUCUUGCAGCUUCCCUUAUUGCCUUAUGUCGUUAGCAAUCAAGUUGUAUGUCCCGAGCAUGGAUGAGGAUGAUAGGUGGAAACGGGCAUACGCGUUUUUAUACAGGGACUGGCCACGUGUAGGCCUGAUGAUUUCUUACAGCUUCCCUUAUUUUCUAAUGUUUCUUCUAUAUGGUUCAUGUGUGGUUCAACUGGGAGUUUUAAGACAGCAGACGAAAUUACAGAUGAUUACAGAUGAAUGAUAGGUGGAAAUAGAGAGGCAUGUUUUAUACAGGAACUGCUACGUGUAGACCUGAUGGCUUCUUGCAGCUUCCCUUAUUUUCUUAUGUUCUUAUUUUCUAACCCAGACCAACAAGACGUACGUGAUCUACAUUUACCAGCCGGACGAGAACAAGAGGCACCACGCUUACGAGAUUGUGGCGACGUGCCUUGGUAUCAACGACAGGGAUAUCCACGAGAACCUGAGGAUGAUGGUAACUUUCCCUUUCUUCGGUAACCAAGUCUACCUGGUGGCGUGCCCUGUGUCUCCUUACUGCCGGCCAGGACGUGGAAAAGUUAUCUACUACCCAAACGAAGAAGAUUAUCACUACGCCCUUCAAAACUCAGUCAUGAAGCCAGCCCUCGAGGUGUCCUACGCCCUCAGGACUCCCCCGCAGGACCCCCGGCAGGUGUUCGCCCUUGAGAAUAGAUACAUUGUGAAUUAUACAGGAGGAGGUAGCACCCCGGCCCCUACAGAGGAUGACCUACUUAGAUAGAGGUUAUGGGUUGGGGUGUUUAUAGAUGGGUAGAUAAAGGAAGGUUUUAUAAUAUGAUACUUUUGUUUCGGUCCUUGCUGCUCUUGUUAGAUAGACAAGGUGGGUGACUGACAGAAGGUUCAGUAUUAUAAGUAGAUAGACAGGUGGGUAGAUACAUAGUUAGUUACUUGACAACCUUUAAAGAGAGAAAAAAAAAUGCCUCUCAACUCUAGAUAACUUCUCUUAGAUAAACAAAUAGAUUGAUACAUAGUCAGAUGGAUAGAUAGGUAAGUAAAUACAGACAGAUAGACAGUUAGUUAGACAGGCAGACAGGCAGUCAGAUAAAUUUCAAGCGACCACAUCUGACACAAAUAUACGACCAUUUCUUAAUUUAAUAAUAUAUAAUAUAAAAUAAUAACCUUUUUAUACCAUUACAAAAAUUCCCUUACACUCAAUCACACUCCCUCACUCUUCUUCACCCAUAAACACUCCUAAAAAUCUAUCCUACAAAACCUUUCCUAAUAUCCCAUCCUUCCUCCUCCUCCUCCUCCUCCUCCUCCUCCUCCUCCUCCUCCUCCUCCUCCUCCUCCUCUUCCACACUCACAGGUAAUUCAAACAUACACACACCCACACCUAGCACUACUUUAUCAUGUAUUAAAUUGAACCGAGAAUUAAUACCAGAAUAUUCUCGUAAUUUGUCAGACAGUCCAACGCACGCCCGGGGAAUUAUUGCAGUCCACCCUGUUAGUUCGCGUUUUCUAUGCACCGUACCCUGGGAAUAAUAGGUGAUUUUGAUAUGGAUAGGGAUCUGUAGGUAAAUGUAAUGUGCUUAUUGGUGUUACUGCCUUGAAUACUCUCUCUCUCUCUCUCUCUCUCUCUCUCUCUCUCUCUCUCUCUGCUUAUGUUUUAUCCCGGAAAUCGACCAAGGAAAUAAACACUGGAAGAAAAGAAAACGUUACACUCUAUCAAGUCAUUUACUGCAGUGCUUUGAAAUGGAAAAUAAACAAGUAAAUGAAUAAGCAGAUAAAUUAAUAAAUAAGGGAAAGGAAAACGAGUCUUGUAUACCUCACGAAACGUUAAAGCAAACCCAAACACACCUGAAACACACCUGAACCCACGUAAGCCAGGCUCAGCACAAGUGUCAGUUUGCGUCAGUCCACACCUGUGCGGUUAUUUCCUCACUGAGUCAAGGACGUGACGAAAUGAAAAGAGGAAGGGAGUUGAGGUAUAAUAUUCUUCUCAGACAGGCAAAGAAAAUAACUU
This is a long non-coding RNA of Scylla paramamosain (green mud crab), 3096 nucleotides long. RefSeq lists it as uncharacterized. The record is from RefSeq and is a predicted model, not a curated record. NCBI's taxonomy places the organism in Eukaryota, Metazoa, Arthropoda, Malacostraca, Decapoda, Portunidae. The transcript is spliced from 3 exons.